AGGCAGGCGGGUUGGCAAGUCAGAGGUGAAAUCCUACAGCUUAACUGUAGAACUGCCUUUGAGACUGCUAAUCUUGAGUACGGAAGAGAGAGAUGGAAUUCCAGGCGUAGUGGUGAAAUACGUAGAUAUCUGGAAGAACACCAGUGGCGAAGGCGAUCUCUUGGUCCUUUACUGACGCUAAGGCGCGAAAGCGUGGGGAGCAAACA
This 206-nucleotide ribosomal RNA is filed under the name uncultured bacterium. RNAcentral describes it as "partial 16S ribosomal RNA". It matches the Rfam family "Bacterial small subunit ribosomal RNA", at positions 569 to 774 of the family's 1533-position model. The record is from RNAcentral.